CACCGGCGGCUCGAGUGGUGGCCACUUUUAUUGGGUCUAAAGCGUCCGUAGCCGGCUUGGCAAGUCCCCUGGGAAAUCUGGCGGCUUAACCGUCAGGCGUCCAGAGGAUACUGCCAGGCUUGGGACCGGGAGAGGUGAGAGGUACCUCAGGGGUAGGGGUGAAAUCUUGUGAUCCCUGAGGGACCACCAGUGGCGAAGGCGUCUCACUAGAACGGGUCCGACGGUCAGGGACGAAAGCUGGGGGCACGAACAGG
This 254-nucleotide ribosomal RNA is filed under the name uncultured microorganism. RNAcentral describes it as "partial 16S ribosomal RNA". It matches the Rfam family "Archaeal small subunit ribosomal RNA", at positions 474 to 727 of the family's 1478-position model. The record is from RNAcentral.